Mustela erminea (ermine) is the source of this 376-nucleotide long non-coding RNA. RefSeq lists it as uncharacterized. The record is from RefSeq and is a predicted model, not a curated record. Lineage: Eukaryota; Metazoa; Chordata; Mammalia; Carnivora; Mustelidae. The transcript has 3 exons.
AGAAAAUAGUGUUUGCCUUCCAAAUGUUAUCACCAUUUUAAUAAGCAGCGAAAUGGCUAAAGAUUAAAGAGACAAGUAGGUGGUAACAGAGAAUGGAAGGAGGGCACUUCUCAGGAAUGAUGAGCCCUGAAAUGAUUGCUCCUUCUUGUGAUACCACAGUCUGAUAAGUUUCUGUGACACGAUCAAAUCCCAUUUUAAAGGUAUUGUAUAGCUACUGAUGCUACAGAAGCAACCGAUUCCAAAAGAAUGACCAUGGGCUUCACAAAGAUGAAGUCCCCCAUGUCUUGAACUAAGCAUACUUCUCAUUUCUUGCCUUUAGGCUUCUUCUACACCACAGUAUGGACCAACUGCAGCUCUGGCUUUGUAUAAGCACAAC